UCGUUGGGGUGUUGAUUGUUGAGGCACCUAGCAGCGUUUUCAACUUAUGUGGCAAAAGUGCUUUCUGUUGGAAGCGUUUUCCUGCACAUAUGUUGAAAACGCUUCCACGUGAACGCGUUUUCUACUUUUCACCUAAAAACGCUGUUAGGUGAAAGCAUUUUUAUAAAAUCGGUCUAUUCCCAUCAUUUUUCGAGAAAAUGGCUUAAACACAUUUUUUUUAAUUUCCAGUGUUU
RNAcentral lists this long non-coding RNA (233 nucleotides) under Gossypium barbadense (sea-island cotton). RNAcentral describes it as "long non-coding RNA (GBAR_LNC014280)". The record is from RNAcentral. Lineage: Eukaryota; Viridiplantae; Streptophyta; Magnoliopsida; Malvales; Malvaceae.